GACUAUCAACAUUGAUUAGGCAUCCCAUGCACCAUAAUCACUACAGUGAGCUGUAGCAUUUAUGGUGCUUGGAGUGUUUCAAAAAGCCUUAAAAGGCAUUGAUCAUAAUUACUACCGGAACACACCUGGGAAACAUCCUAACAUAUACAUCAGAACAACCAAGGACCAUCUCAUUUUCUGGAUGAAAAUGAAGAUGACUUUUCAAUACAUUUCUCUCCUGAUAAUGUAUAAGAAAGUGUAAAUCUCUAACUAUGGUACUUUCAUGUAUAUACUUUCUUCAAUGUAUAUAAAGAAUUUUAAAUGGUCUAAGCAAAAGCCACAAUUUGGAAGCUGGCUUCAUCCACA
Molecule: non-coding RNA, 345 nt
Organism: Pelobates cultripes (western spadefoot toad)
Lineage: Eukaryota; Metazoa; Chordata; Amphibia; Anura; Pelobatidae
Source: the annotation of a GenBank genome assembly